This 424-nucleotide ribosomal RNA is filed under the name uncultured bacterium. Its description in RNAcentral is "bacterial SSU rRNA". It matches the Rfam family "Bacterial small subunit ribosomal RNA", at positions 356 to 773 of the family's 1533-position model. The record is from RNAcentral.
AGGGAAUCUUCCGCAAUGGACGAAAGUCUGACGGAGCAACGCCGCGUGAGUGAUGAAGGUUUUCGGAUCGUAAAGCUCUGUUGCCAGGGAAGAACGUCCGUUAGAGUAACUGCUAACGGAGUGACGGUACCUGAGAAGAAAGCCCCGGCUAACUACGUGCCAGCAGCCGCGGUAAUACGUAGGGGGCAAGCGUUGUCCGGAAUUAUUGGGCGUAAAGCGCGCGCAGGCGGCUGUUUAAGUCUGGUGUAUAAUCCUGGGGCUCAACUCCGGGUCGCACUGGAAACUGGACGGCUUGAGUGCAGAAGAGGAGAGUGGAAUUCCACGUGUAGCGGUGAAAUGCGUAGAGAUGUGGAGGAACACCAGUGGCGAAGGCGGCUUUCUGGUCUGUAACUGACGCUGAGGCGCGAAAGCGUGGGGAGCAAAC